Molecule: ribosomal RNA, 266 nt
Filed under: uncultured bacterium
Lineage: Bacteria
Description: partial 16S ribosomal RNA
Rfam family: Bacterial small subunit ribosomal RNA
Source: RNAcentral
UAGCCUACGGGGCGCAGCAGUGGGGAAUAUUGCACAAUGGGGGGAACCCUGAUGCAGCGACGCCGCGUGAGGGAUGAAGGUCUUCGGAUCGUAAACCUCUGUCAGCAGGGAAGAACGGUCACUGUGCUAAUCAGCAGUGCAUUGACGGUACCUGCAAAGGAAGCACCGGCUAACUCCGUGCCAGCAGCCGCGGUAAUACGGAGGGUGCGAGCGUUAAUCGGAAUUACUGGGCGUAAAGCGCUCGUAGGCGGUAUGUCAAGUCAAGG